Molecule: ribosomal RNA, 1242 nt
Filed under: metagenome
Description: bacterial LSU rRNA
Rfam family: Bacterial large subunit ribosomal RNA
Source: RNAcentral
UGAAUACGAGAUGCUACGGCGUCGAAGCAGUCUAUGUCAUACUUCCAAGAAAAGCUUGCACUGUCAUAAACAAAUAAUGCCUGUACCAUAACCGACACAGGUGGGUAGGUAGAGUAUACUAAGGGGCGCGAGAUAACUCUCUCUAAGGAACUCGGCAAAAUGACUCCGUAACUUCGGGAGAAGGAGUGCCUUAUUUAUAAGGUUGCAAUAACAAGAUCCAAGCAACUGUUUACCAAAAACACAGGUCUCCGCUAAGUCGUAAGACGAUGUAUGGGGGCUGACGCCUGCCCAGUGCCAGAAGGUUAAAGAAGUUGGUUAGCAUCCGCGAAGCUGAUAACUGAAGCCCUGGUGAACGGCGGCCGUAACAAUAACGGUCCUAAGGUAGCGAAAUUCCUUGUCGGGUAAGUUCCGACCCGCACGAAAGGCGUAAUGAUUUGGAUACUGUCUCGGAGAGGGGCUCGGUGAAAUAGACUUGUCUGUGAAGAUGCGGACUACCUGCACCAGGACAGAAAGACCCUAUGAAGCUUUACUGUAACCUGAAAUUGAAAUUGGACUUUACUUGCGCAGUAUAGGUGGGAGGCGUUGAGAAUAUUCUUGCGGGAUUAUUGGAGCCAUCAGUGAGAUACCACUCUUGUAAUGUUAGAUUUCUAACUUUGUAUCAUUAUCUGGUCAAAGAACAGUUUCAGGCGGGCAGUUUGACUGGGGCGGUCGCCUCCUAAACGGUAACGGAGGCGCACAAAGGUUUCCUCUGAACGGGUAGAAAUCGUAUCUAGAGUGUAAAGGCAUAAGGAAGCUUGACUGUGAGACCUACAAGUCGAGCAGGGACGAAAGUCGGUCUUAGUGAUCUGACGGUGCUGAGUGGAAAGGCCGUCACUCAACGGAUAAAAGUUACUCUAGGAUAACAGGCUGAUCUCCCCCAAGAGUUCACAUCGACGGGGAGGUUUGGCACCUCGAUGUCGGCUCAUCGCAUCCUGGGGCGGUAGUACGUCCCAAGGGUUGGGCUGUUCGCCCAUGAAAGCGGUACGCGAGCUGGGUUCAGAACGUCGUGAGACAGUUCGGUCCAUAUCCGGUGUAGGCGUUAGAAUAUUGAGAGGAGCCUUCUUUAGUACGAGAGGACCGAGAAGGACAUACCUCUGGUGUACCAGUUAUCGUGCCAACGGUAAACGCUGGGUAGCUAUGUGUGGAGUGGAUAACCGCUGAAAGCAUCUAAGUGGGAAGCCCACCUCAAGAUAAGUAUUCUCA